RNAcentral lists this ribosomal RNA (373 nucleotides) under uncultured prokaryote. Its description in RNAcentral is "bacterial SSU rRNA". It matches the Rfam family "Bacterial small subunit ribosomal RNA", at positions 524 to 896 of the family's 1533-position model. The record is from RNAcentral.
UACGUAGGUGGCGAGCGUUGUCCGGAAUUAUUGGGCGUAAAGCGCGCGCAGGUGGGAUCUUAAGUCUGUUCUGAAAGUGCGGAGCUUAACUCCGUGAUGGGAUGGAAACUGGGAUUCUUGAGUAUCGGAGAGGAAAGCGGAAUUCCCCGUGUAGCGGUGAAAUGCGUAGAUAUGGGGAGGAACACCAGUGGCGAAGGCGGCUUUCUGGACGAUGUCUGACACUGAGGCGCGAAAGCCAGGGGAGCGAACGGGAUUAGAUACCCCGGUAGUCCUGGCCGUAAACGAUGGGUACUAGGUGUGGGGGGUGUCAACUCCUCCCGUGCCGGCGCUAACGCAAUAAGUACCCCGCCUGGGGAGUACGGCCGCAAGGUUG